RNAcentral lists this long non-coding RNA (418 nucleotides) under Salvia miltiorrhiza (redroot sage). Its description in RNAcentral is "long non-coding RNA (SMIL_LNC003721)". The record is from RNAcentral. Lineage: Eukaryota; Viridiplantae; Streptophyta; Magnoliopsida; Lamiales; Lamiaceae.
AAACUCAAAACCAUCUCCCUAUUGCCCUCCAUCAACACCACAAUCACUCCCAAAACCACCCCUACCCUACUCCUGACGCCCCCUCCUUACCCCACCCUAGGAUCCACCCUUCGUUUAUCCCAUUAUUUUCUCUUCGAUCAGUCUCUGAAUUCAUCAAUUUCACAACUUUCACACCCAAACCAUUCUCUUAUUCGUUUAUUGUGUUUUUUUUGCUAUGCUUAAUUUGUAAACGAGAGUAAUUGCGAGGAAUGGAUGAGAGGAAAUCGAAGAGACCGAACGGUUUCAGCAGCCGGAGCUGCGGAGUCAGCAGCAGCAGCAGAAGUAGCAGCGGCUCGUACGACACCGUAUGGGAGUGCGUGACCCCGUACGUGCAGGACCCGCGCGACCGGGACGCGGUGUCGCUGGUGUGCAAGCNNNN